Molecule: ribosomal RNA, 305 nt
Filed under: uncultured bacterium
Lineage: Bacteria
Description: bacterial SSU rRNA
Rfam family: Bacterial small subunit ribosomal RNA
Source: RNAcentral
CCUACGGGGCGCAGCAGUGGGGAAUAUUGCACAAUGGGGGAAACCCUGAUGCAGCGACGCCGCGUGAGUGAGGAAGUAUUUCGGUAUGUAAAGCUCUAUCAGCAGGGAAGAAAAUGACGGUACCUGACUAAGAAGCCCCGGCUAACUACGUGCCAGCAGCCGCGGUAAUACGUAGGGGGCAAGCGUUAUCCGGAUUUACUGGGAGUAAAGGGAGCGCAGACGGCAGUGCAAGUCUGGAGUGAAAGCCCGGGGCCCAACACCGGAACUGCUCUGGAAACUGUGCGGCGAGAGUACUGGAGGGGCAG